This 68-nucleotide transfer RNA is filed under the name Chloroflexota bacterium. RNAcentral describes it as "tRNA-Ser". Lineage: Bacteria; Bacillati; Chloroflexota. The record is from RNAcentral.
GACCUCAUGGACGGGUCAGGCUGAGACUUUUAAUCCAUUGGUUCAGGGUUCGAGUCCCUGCGGGGUCA